This 301-nucleotide ribosomal RNA is filed under the name uncultured bacterium. RNAcentral describes it as "partial 16S ribosomal RNA". It matches the Rfam family "Bacterial small subunit ribosomal RNA", at positions 509 to 807 of the family's 1533-position model. The record is from RNAcentral.
CAGUAGCCGCGGGAAUACGAAGGUCCCGAGCGUUGUUCGGAAUCACUGGGCGUAAAGGGAGCGUAGGCGGCGUGGUAAGUCAAAUGUGAAAUCCCGGGGCUCAACCCCGGAACUGCAUCCGAUACUGCCGUGCUAGAGGAUUGGAGAGGUAGCUGGAAUUCUUGGUGUAGCAGUGAAAUGCGUGGAGAUCAAGAGGAACACUCGUGGCGAAGGCGAGCUACUGGACAAUAUCUGACGCUGAGGCUCGAAGGCCAGGGUAGCGAAAGGGAUUAGAUACCCCAGUAGUCCCUGUCUCUUAUAC